GUAAUCGCGGAUCAGCACGCCGCGGUGAAUACGUUCCCGGGCCUUGUACACACCGCCCGUCACACCAUGGAAGUCUGCAAUGCCCGAAGCCGGUGGCCUAACCACUUAUGUGGAAGGAGCCGUCUAAGGCAGGGCAGAUGACUGGGGUGAAGUCGUAACAAGGUAGC
RNAcentral lists this ribosomal RNA (167 nucleotides) under uncultured bacterium. RNAcentral describes it as "partial 16S ribosomal RNA". It matches the Rfam family "Bacterial small subunit ribosomal RNA", at positions 1338 to 1500 of the family's 1533-position model. The record is from RNAcentral.